This 693-nucleotide long non-coding RNA is filed under the name Malus domestica (apple). RNAcentral describes it as "long non-coding RNA (MDOM_LNC004155)". Lineage: Eukaryota; Viridiplantae; Streptophyta; Magnoliopsida; Rosales; Rosaceae. The record is from RNAcentral.
GCAUGGAAAACCAAUAAUAAAUACACAGAUACGCUCACAAUAAGUUUGCUCUUAAAUAAAUAAAAAUGGCAAGGCAAUAGAGUUAGAACAAACAUUCGUAACGAAAAAAGUAAAUGAUUGCAGAUGUUAAACUUGUUGCAAUACGUCCUAGAACAUGAAUUACUUAAAAGACUCUCAAGAAGGCACCGAUAGCAAAUCAAAUAACAAUUAGAGAUUUUCGUUGGGGCGUCUACAUAAAUGAAUCCUGCAUCCAUUGAUACAAAUUAAGUUCAUCUACUUCACCACUCAUACUACAAAAAAGGUCGUACCCAGUGCACAAGGCUCCCGCUUUACACAGGGUCUGGGAGAGGUGAAUGUCGGCUAGCCUUACCCCCAUUUAUGGAGAGGCUGCUCCCAAGUCUCGAACCCGAGACCUACCACUCAUACUACAAAAGAGACUAAAUUUAAACCAAGAUAAAAUGAAUUUCGAUUUCGUUCAUUUCUAGCUUAGUUCUAUAUGAACUUCUCAAUCAUCGCAAGACACUAUUCCGGAUUUAUAAGCUGAGACAAAUAAUUCCGGAUUUAUAAGCUGAGACAACUAAUUGAUCACAAAUUUAAAGCAUAAUUCUUGAUUCGAAACACCACAUUAAUCGAUUAAUCCAAACACGAAAUUAAUGACAAAAGCCAAAAAAAAAAAAACUGAAACAAUUGCCG